UGCCAAAGAGGCUUUCACAACCUCCUGUGUGACAGUGGUGGAGGUGGGGAAGGUGAUGAUGUCAGGGGUGGUUGCUGCAGCAACCCCAACCUCAGGGUGUGUGCACCCUUUCCAAGAAUGUGGAGUGUGGAGUCACAGCUGAAGCCUUCAGACAAGGAGCUGUUUUCCACUUGUGCAAACACAACAAAGGAUUUAAAGGGACCUGCUUUGAGCCACCUCCAGCACCAGCAAGAUUCAGCGAAAGAAGAUGUUUCCAGCUGGAGGUGGACUGGGAGAUGUGCAUCUGUGAGCGAGUAAUUCCAUGGAGGAUUGUCUGCUACCUUUGGUGGUCGGUCCACUUCAUUUUCUUUCAGUAACUUAAUUUUUCUACCGUGUAGAAACUUUUCAUGAAAAGUUCAGGGAAGUGGUUUGAAUUCUGUCGUUUGAGUGAAUUGACCAUGCAGUCAUGGAAUUGUAGAAUCAUGGAAGAGUUUGGGUUGGAAAGGACCAUUUUGUUCCAAUCCCCUGCCAUGGGCAGGGACACCUUCCACUAGCCCAGGCUGCUCCAAGUCCUGUCCAGCCUGGCUUUGGACACUUCCAGGGAUCCAGGGGCAGCCACAGCUUCUCUGGGAAACCUCUGCCAGGUACUCCCCAUCCUCCCAGGGUCUAUCCCAUAUCCCAUCUAAAUCUUCCUUAUUUCAGUCACUUUGGGGUUUGCAUUACAGACUGCUCAGUUGUGCAGCAAGAGCCAGGAGCCACAGCUGAGGGGCACAGGAGAGAAAAAGCUGGGAAGGGCAGUCUGAGUGGGAGCCUUGCAGUCCGUGAAUCUGACUGAAUCAUGCUGCUGAUGUCAUUUAUUAGGGCUGUUUCCUGCUGAGGAACAGACUCAGCACCACACAGGUCUCCAGCCACUGCUGGCACGCUCCGGAGCAGUGAAUCACCGGUGCUGUUUGCUGAGCUGAGUCACUUGCGUGGACAGAGACCUCACAGAAAAUAUUCCUUGGUGAACAAACUACUCCAGGAGCUCAGUAAAAAAAAAAAUCCAGGUUAUUUUUUGGCAUCUUUUGCCUGAUGAAAGGAGAAUUUCCCUCAGUGGAAUAUCUCUGCUCCAAGGUGGUGUCCGGGUGCAGAGUGACCUGUGUUUCCAGCUGGCAGAACAAAGGCAGGGAUCGUGUUUGAAGCCUGUUUGUUCAGCGUCCCAGUAACAAGACUUUGGGCACCUGGGAACUUUGGCAAGCAAAACCUGUAUUUCAUUAUCUUUUUUUGUUUUUCCUUCUGAAUCCUAAAGAAACAGAGGGAAAAAAAAGGUUUAAGUUUU
This 1297-nucleotide long non-coding RNA is filed under the name Cyanistes caeruleus (blue tit). Its description in RNAcentral is "lncRNA (ENSCCEG00000006216.1)". The record is from RNAcentral. Lineage: Eukaryota; Metazoa; Chordata; Aves; Passeriformes; Paridae.